GCGCCACUAGCUCAGCUGGAUAGAGCGUCGGCCUCCGGAGCCGAAGGUCGCAGGUUCGAAUCCUGCGUGGCGCGCCA
RNAcentral lists this transfer RNA (77 nucleotides) under Polyangiaceae bacterium. RNAcentral's name for it is "tRNA-Arg". It matches the Rfam family "tRNA". Rfam says of the family: Transfer RNA (tRNA) molecules are approximately 80 nucleotides in length. The record is from RNAcentral. Lineage: Bacteria; Pseudomonadati; Myxococcota; Polyangiales; Polyangiaceae.